ACAGGCUUAACACAUGCAAGUCGAGGGGCAGCAUUUCAGUUUGCUUGCAAACUGGAGAUGGCGACCGGCGCACGGGUGAGUAACACGUAUCCAACCUGCCGAUAACUCGGGGAUAGCCUUUCGAAAGAAAGAUUAAUACCCGAUGGUAUAAUCAGACCGCAUGGUCUUGUUAUUAAAGAAUUUCGGUUAUCGAUGGGGAUGCGUUCCAUUAGGCAGUUGGUGAGGUAACGGCUCACCAAACCUUCGAUGGAUAGGGGUUCUGAGAGGAAGGUCCCCCACAUUGGAACUGAGACACGGUCCAAACUCCUACGGGAGGCAGCAGUGAGGAAUAUUGGUCAAUGGGCGCAGGCCUGAACCAGCCAAGUAGCGUGAAGGAUGACUGCCCUAUGGGUUGUAAACUUCUUUUAUAUGGGAAUAAAGUUUUCCACGUGUGGAAUUUUGUAUGUACCAUAUGAAUAAGGAUCGGCUAACUCCGUGCCAGCAGCCGCGGUAAUACGGAGGAUCCGAGCGUUAUCCGGAUUUAUUGGGUUUAAAGGGAGCGUAGGUGGACAGUUAAGUCAGUUGUGAAAGUUUGCGGCUCAACCGUAAAAUUGCAGUUGAUACUGGCUGUCUUGAGUACAGUAGAGGUGGGCGGAAUUCGUGGUGUAGCGGUGAAAUGCUUAGAUAUCACGAAGAACUCCGAUUGCGAAGGCAGCUCACUGGACUGCAACUGACACUGAUGCUCGAAAGUGUGGGUAUCAAACAGGAUUAGAUACCCUGGUAGUCCACACAGUAAACGAUGAAUACUCGCUGUUUGCGAUAUACAGUAAGCGGCCAAGCGAAAGCAUUAAGUAUUCCACCUGGGGAGUACGCCGGCAACGGUGAAACUCAAAGGAAUUGACGGGGGCCCGCACAAGCGGAGGAACAUGUGGUUUAAUUCGAUGAUACGCGAGGAACCUUACCCGGGCUUAAAUUGCAUUUGAAUAUAUUGGAAACAGUAUAGCCGUAAGGCAAAUGUGAAGGUGCUGCAUGGUUGUCGUCAGCUCGUGCCGUGAGGUGUCGGCUUAAGUGCCAUAACGAGCGCAACCCUUAUCUUUAGUUACUAACAGGUCAUGCUGAGGACUCUAGAGAGACUGCCGUCGUAAGAUGUGAGGAAGGUGGGGAUGACGUCAAAUCAGCACGGCCCUUACGUCCGGGGCUACACACGUGUUACAAUGGGGGGUACAGAAGGCAGCUACCUGGUGACAGGAUGCUAAUCCCAAAAGCCUCUCUCAGUUCGGAUCGAAGUCUGCAACCCGACUUCGUGAAGCUGGAUUCGCUAGUAAUCGCGCAUCAGCCAUGGCGCGGUGAAUACGUUCCCGGGCCUUGUACACACCGCCCGUCAAGCCAUGAAAGCCGGGGGUACCUGAAGUACGUAACCGCAAGGAGCGUCCUAGGGUAAAACUGGUAAUUGGGGCU
This 1437-nucleotide ribosomal RNA is filed under the name uncultured organism. RNAcentral describes it as "SSU rRNA". It matches the Rfam family "Bacterial small subunit ribosomal RNA". The record is from RNAcentral.